This 348-nucleotide ribosomal RNA is filed under the name uncultured archaeon. RNAcentral describes it as "bacterial SSU rRNA". It matches the Rfam family "Archaeal small subunit ribosomal RNA", at positions 138 to 485 of the family's 1478-position model. The record is from RNAcentral.
AACUGAGGAUAAUACUGGAUAGGCAAUUAUUCCUGUAAUGGUUUUUUGUUUAAAUGUUUUUUCGCCUAAGGAUGAGUCUGCGGCCGAUUAGGUAGUUGGUUAGGUAAUGGCUUACCAAGCCGUUGAUCGGUACGGGUUGUGAGAGCAAGAGCCCGGAGAUGGAACCUGAGACAAGGUUCCAGGCCCUACGGGGUGCAGCAGGCGCGAAACCUCCGCAAUGUGAGAAAUCGCGACGGGGGGAUCCCAAGUGCCAUUCUUAACGGGAUGGCUUUUCAUUAGUGUAAAGAGCUUUUGGAAUAAGAGCUGGGCAAGACCGGUGCCAGCCGCCGCGGUAACACCGGCAGCUCU